CGGCGGUAGUAACGCGUGGGGAACCUGCCCUGUACCGGGGGAUAGCAGCCGGAAACGGCUGAUAAUACCGCAUAAGCGCACGAAUGUCGCAUGACAUGGUGUGAAAAAACUCCGGUGGUAUAGGAUGGACCCGCGUCUGAUUAGCCGGUUGGUGGGGUAAAAGCCUACCAAAGCGAAGAUCAGUAGCCGAGUUGAGAGACUGACCGGCCACAUUGGGACUGAGACACGGCCCAGACUCCUACGGGAGGCAGCAGCU
This 256-nucleotide ribosomal RNA is filed under the name uncultured bacterium. RNAcentral describes it as "partial 16S ribosomal RNA". It matches the Rfam family "Bacterial small subunit ribosomal RNA", at positions 96 to 355 of the family's 1533-position model. The record is from RNAcentral.